ACUCCUAGACAAUUUGUUGAAAUUCUUAGAUGUUUUCAAAUCAUUGCGAUCUCGCACUUCGGUCGUUUUAGAUCAAUUCCUUUGGCGGAUGUUUUAACGAAUUCUAACGGAUUUUCAAACGAAUUUUUUUUUUCUGAUUUUAACUGAAAAACGAAGCGAUAAAAAAGGCUUUAUAGUCCUUUCAAAAAAAAAACGAAGCUUAUUUUUUGUGUGGCACAAAUAUAUAGACAAUUGUGAUUUAAUUUUAAUACAAAUAAACUCUAGGAAGCAUUUGGGCUGAGACGACGAUAUAAUAAUUUGUUCAUUUUUUUAAUUCUAAAACUAUACAAAAAAAAAGAAAUUUUGCGUUUUUGCAAAAAACUCUAGCCCUAUCUCAAACGAGUUUUUUUUAAUUAUUUUUAAAAGCGAAAACUAAUUCAAAAUGCCGCGUCCAAUUGCUAGCCAAGAAGAUGAGGAUCCAACCCCAUACUUGUUUGUAUCGUUGGAACAAAGGCGUAUCGAUCAAUCGAAACCCUAUGACUCUAAGAAGAACUGUUGGGUUCCCGAUGAGAAAGAGGGUUAUCUCCUUGGUGAAAUUAAGGCCACCAAGGGUGAUAUUGUCAGCGUUGGCUUGCCCGGCGGUGAGACCAAAGAUUUCAAGAAAGAUCAGCUCCAACAAGUCAACCCUCCCAAAUACGAAAAGGCUGAGGAUAUGUCUAACUUGACAUACCUUAACGAUGCCUCCGUACUCCAUAACUUGAGACAAAGAUACUACCACAAACUUAUCUACACCUACUCUGGUCUUUUCUGCGUUGCCAUCAAUCCCUACAAGCGUUACCCCGUAUAUACCAACCGUUGCGCUAAGAUGUACCGUGGUAAGCGCCGUAAUGAAGUGCCACCCCACAUUUUCGCCAUUUCUGAUGGUGCCUACGUCGACAUGUUGACCAACCACGUCAAUCAAUCUAUGUUGAUUACCGGUGAGUCUGGUGCUGGUAAGACUGAAAACACCAAAAAGGUAAUUGCUUACUUCGCCACCGUUGGUGCCUCCACCAAGAAGGAUGAAAGCCAAAAGAACAAGGGCUCCUUGGAAGAUCAAGUCGUACAAACCAAUCCUGUUCUUGAAGCCUUCGGUAACGCCAAGACCGUCCGUAACGAUAACUCUUCUCGUUUCGGUAAAUUCAUCCGUAUUCACUUCGGCCCCACUGGUAAAUUGGCUGGUGCUGAUAUUGAAACUUACUUGUUGGAAAAGGCUCGUGUCAUCUCCCAACAAUCUUUGGAACGUUCUUACCACAUUUUCUACCAGAUCAUGUCUGGUUCCGUUCCCGGUGUUAAAGAUUACUGUUUGUUGUCCAACAACAUCUACGAUUACCACAUUGUCUCUCAGGGCAAGGUUACUGUUGCCAGUAUCGAUGAUGCUGAUGAAUUCUCCCUUACCGAUCAAGCCUUCGAUAUCUUGGGCUUCACCAAGCAAGAAAAGGAAGAUGUCUACAAGAUCACCGCCGCUGUCAUGCACAUGGGUGGCAUGAAGUUCAAGCAACGUGGUCGCGAAGAACAGGCUGAACAAGAUGGUGAAGAAGAAGGUGGUCGUGUUGCCAAAUUGUUCGGUUGCGAUACCGCUGAAUUGUACAAGAACUUGUUGAAACCCCGCAUUAAGGUCGGUAACGAAUUCGUCACCCAAGGUCGUAACGUACAACAAGUCACCAACUCUAUCGGUGCUCUCUGUAAGGGUGUCUUCGAUCGUCUCUUCAAAUGGUUGGUCAAGAAGUGUAACGAAACUUUGGAUACCAAGCAAAAACGUCAACACUUCAUUGGUGUAUUGGAUAUUGCUGGUUUUGAAAUUUUCGACUACAACGGUUUCGAACAAUUGUGUAUCAAUUUCACUAACGAAAAAUUGCAACAAUUCUUCAACCAUCACAUGUUCGUUUUGGAACAAGAAGAAUACCAACGUGAAGGCAUCGAAUGGACUUUCAUUGAUUUUGGCAUGGAUUUGCAAAUGUGUAUUGAAUUGAUUGAGAAGCCUAUGGGUAUCUUGUCCAUCCUUGAAGAAGAAUCUAUGUUCCCCAAGGCUACUGAUCAAACCUUCGCCGAAAAGUUGACCAACACUCACUUGGGCAAAUCUGCUCCCUUCCAGAAGCCCAAACCACCAAAGCCCGGUCAACAAGCUGCUCACUUCGCUAUUGGCCAUUAUGCUGGUGUUGUAGCCUAUAACAUCACCGGUUGGUUGGAAAAGAACAAGGAUCCCUUGAACGACACUGUUGUCGAUCAAUUCAAGAAAUCCCAAAACAAAUUGUUGGUAGAAAUCUUCGCUGAUCACCCUGGUCAAUCCGGUGGCGGUGAACAAGCCAAGGGCGGUCGUGGUAAGAAGGGUGGUGGCUUCGCUACUGUAUCUUCAGCCUACAAGGAACAAUUGAACAGCUUGAUGACCACCUUGCGUUCCACACAACCUCACUUCGUCCGUUGUAUCAUUCCCAACGAAAUGAAACAACCCGGUGUUGUUGAUGCUCACUUGGUUAUGCAUCAAUUGACUUGUAACGGUGUACUUGAAGGUAUCCGUAUUUGCCGUAAAGGUUUCCCCAACAGAAUGGUAUACGCUGAUUUCAAGCAACGUUACCAGAUCCUUAACCCCAGAGGUAUCAAGGGCGUUGAUGAUCCCAAGAAAUGCACCAAGAUCUUGAUUGAAUCCACUGAACUUGACGAUGAUCAAUAUCGUUUGGGUAACACUAAGGUGUUCUUCCGUGCCGGUGUCUUGGGUCAAAUGGAAGAAUUCCGUGAUGAACGUUUGGGCAAGAUCAUGUCCUGGAUGCAAGCCUGGGCUCGCGGUUACUUGUCCCGUAAGGGCUUCAAGAAAUUGCAAGAACAACGUGUUGCCCUCAAGGUUGUUCAACGCAACUUGCGCAAAUACUUGCAAUUGCGUACCUGGCCCUGGUACAAAUUGUGGCAAAAGGUCAAGCCUUUGCUCAAUGUAUCCCGUGUUGAAGAUGAAAUUGCUCGUCUUGAAGAGAAGGCUAAGAAGGCUGAAGAAGCUCAUGCUGCCGAAGUUAAGGUACGCAAGGAAUUGGAAGCCCUUAAUGCUAAGUUGUUAGCUGAAAAGACUGCCUUGUUGGACUCCUUGUCUGGUGAAAAGGGUGCCUUGCAAGAUUACCAAGAAAGAUGCGCUAAACUCCAAGCUCAAAAGAACGACCUCGAAAACCAAUUGCGCGACAUCCAAGAGCGCUUGACUCAAGAGGAAGAUGCCCGCAACCAAUUGUUCCAACAGAAGAAGAAGGCUGACCAAGAAAUCUCUGGCCUCAAGAAGGACAUUGAAGACUUGGAAUUAAACGUCCAAAAGGCCGAACAAGAUAAGGCCACCAAGGACCAUCAAAUCCGCAACUUGAACGAUGAAAUCGCCCACCAAGACGAACUCAUCAACAAGUUGAACAAGGAGAAGAAGAUGCAAGGUGAAAGCAACCAGAAGACUGGUGAAGAACUCCAAGCUGCCGAAGACAAGAUCAAUCACUUGAACAAGGUCAAGGCUAAGUUGGAACAAACCUUGGAUGAAUUGGAAGACUCCUUGGAACGCGAGAAGAAAUUGCGUGGUGAUAUCGAGAAAUCCAAGCGCAAGGUUGAAGGUGACUUGAAACUUACCCAAGAAGCCGUCUCCGAUUUGGAACGCAACAAGAAGGAAUUGGAACAAACCAUCCAACGCAAGGACAAGGAAUUGUCCUCCAUCACCGCCAAAUUGGAAGAUGAACAAGUUGUUGUUAGCAAGCACCAACGUCAAAUCAAGGAAUUGCAAGCCCGCAUCGAAGAAUUGGAAGAAGAAGUCGAAGCCGAACGUCAAGCUCGCGCCAAGGCUGAGAAACAACGUGCUGAUUUGGCUCGCGAAUUGGAGGAAUUGGGUGAACGUCUUGAAGAAGCCGGUGGUGCUACUUCUGCCCAAAUUGAACUCAACAAGAAGCGUGAAGCCGAACUCAGCAAAUUGCGUCGUGACUUGGAAGAAGCCAACAUUCAACACGAAUCUACCUUGGCUAACUUGCGCAAGAAGCACAACGAUGCUAUCGCUGAAAUGGCCGAACAAGUUGAUCAACUCAACAAAUUGAAGGCUAAGGCUGAAAAGGAGAAGAACGAAUACUACGGUCAAUUGAACGAUCUCCGCGCUGGUGUUGACCACAUUACCAACGAGAAGGCUGCCCAAGAAAAGAUUGCCAAGCAAUUGCAACACACCCUCAACGAAGUCCAAUCCAAAUUGGAUGAAACCAACAGAACCCUCAACGACUUCGAUGCCGCCAAGAAGAAGCUUUCCAUUGAAAACUCCGACCUCUUGCGCCAAUUGGAAGAAGCCGAAUCCCAAGUUUCCCAAUUGUCCAAGAUCAAGAUCUCCCUCACCACUCAAUUGGAAGAUACCAAGCGUUUGGCUGAUGAAGAAGCCCGCGAACGUGCCACUCUCUUGGGCAAAUUCCGCAACUUGGAACACGACUUGGAUAACCUCCGCGAACAAGUAGAAGAAGAAGCUGAAGGCAAGGCCGAUUUGCAACGUCAACUCAGCAAGGCUAACGCUGAAGCUCAAAUCUGGCGCAGCAAGUACGAAUCUGAUGGUGUUGCCCGCUCCGAAGAAUUGGAAGAAGCCAAGAGGAAGUUGCAAGCUCGCUUGGCCGAAGCCGAGGAAACCAUUGAAUCCCUCAACCAAAAAUGCAUUGGCCUCGAAAAGACCAAGCAACGCUUGUCCACCGAAGUCGAAGAUUUGCAAUUGGAAGUCGACCGUGCCAACGCUAUUGCCAACGCCGCCGAGAAGAAACAAAAGGCCUUCGACAAGAUCAUUGGCGAAUGGAAACUCAAGGUUGACGAUUUGGCUGCUGAACUCGAUGCCUCCCAAAAGGAAUGCCGCAACUACUCCACCGAAUUGUUCCGUCUCAAGGGUGCCUACGAAGAAGGCCAAGAACAAUUGGAAGCCGUCCGUCGUGAAAACAAGAACUUGGCUGAUGAAGUUAAGGACUUGCUCGACCAAAUCGGUGAAGGUGGCCGCAACAUCCACGAAAUCGAAAAGGCUCGCAAACGCUUGGAAGCCGAAAAGGAUGAACUCCAAGCCGCCCUCGAAGAAGCUGAAGCUGCUUUGGAACAAGAAGAAAACAAGGUAUUGCGCGCUCAAUUGGAAUUGUCUCAAGUUCGUCAAGAAAUCGACCGCCGCAUCCAAGAGAAGGAAGAAGAAUUCGAAAACACCCGCAAGAACCACCAACGUGCUCUCGACUCCAUGCAAGCCUCCCUCGAAGCCGAAGCCAAGGGUAAGGCUGAGGCCCUUCGCAUGAAGAAGAAGUUGGAAGCCGACAUCAACGAAUUGGAAAUUGCUUUGGAUCACGCCAACAAGGCUAACGCCGAGGCCCAAAAGAACAUCAAACGCUACCAACAACAACUCAAGGACAUCCAAACCGCCCUUGAAGAAGAACAAAGAGCUCGUGAUGAUGCCCGCGAACAAUUGGGUAUCUCUGAACGUCGUGCCAACGCCCUCCAAAACGAAUUGGAAGAAUCCCGCACCCUCCUCGAACAAGCUGAUCGCGGUCGUCGCCAAGCCGAACAAGAAUUGGCCGAUGCCCACGAACAACUCAACGAAGUUUCCGCCCAAAACGCCUCCAUCUCCGCUGCCAAGAGGAAAUUGGAAUCUGAACUCCAAACACUCCACUCUGAUUUGGAUGAAUUGUUGAACGAAGCCAAGAACUCCGAAGAGAAGGCCAAGAAGGCUAUGGUUGAUGCUGCCCGUCUUGCUGAUGAACUCCGCGCUGAACAAGACCACGCCCAAACCCAAGAGAAACUCAGAAAGGCCCUUGAACAACAAAUCAAGGAAUUGCAAGUCCGUUUGGAUGAAGCUGAAGCCAACGCCCUCAAGGGUGGCAAGAAGGCUAUCCAAAAAUUGGAACAACGCGUCCGCGAAUUGGAGAACGAAUUGGAUGGUGAACAAAGAAGACACGCUGAUGCCCAAAAGAACCUCCGCAAAUCCGAACGUCGCAUUAAGGAAUUGAGCUUCCAAUCCGAAGAAGAUCGCAAGAACCACGAACGUAUGCAAGACUUGGUUGACAAACUCCAACAAAAGAUCAAGACAUACAAGAGGCAAAUCGAAGAAGCCGAAGAAAUCGCCGCCCUCAACUUGGCCAAAUUCCGCAAAGCCCAACAAGAACUUGAAGAAGCCGAAGAACGUGCCGAUUUGGCUGAACAAGCCAUCAGCAAAUUCCGUGCCAAGGGACGUGCCGGUUCCGUUGGUCGUGGUGCCAGCCCCGCGAUUUAAAUUACGCAAAAUGGCACUGUAAAUGAUUCACACGGUCCACAUAGAGAUUCAAUUAGCAAAAAAAAAAAAAAAGAGAAACUAGAUCAUAAGUAAAAGCUUUAUGCAUCUCUUUUCAAACAAAAGAAAUGCAACAUUCAACAUUCAAUUUAUUACUUUAAACCAAAUCGAAAAAUAUAUUUAAAAAAGAAAAAAAAAACAAAAAAAAAUAAACAACCAGCUUACAAAACCCAAUCUAUUUCAUCACCAAAAGCAUCAAUCUCAUCGCAAUCAAAACAAAAAAAAAAAGAAUAAAACAAAAAGAGUCAUAGUCAGAUCAGUAGAAAUCGAGCUGAAUUAGAAAUAUCUCUGCUUUUUUUAUAACGAUAUAAUAUAAUAAUUUUAUUAUUAUUACUACUACUAUAAUACUACUACAACAACAAUUACUACUACUACUAUUAUAAUUGUAUAUGUAUGUGUGUGUGUACAACAACAAUAGCCGGCAGCGUCUAAAGGUGGUCGCAAAAGUGUGCUGGACCAGUAAACAAUCUUUCAUUACAUUUCCCCGUGCUAUGUCCGUGCGGCCACAAUUGGACGGUAUGGCUUUCCCACCAAGAUUCGACCUUGCUCCCGAAGAUUUCUAAAUGCCAUUAAAACAUUUUAAUUUAUUUUAUUAAUACUAUUUCAUAAUUAUUUUAUUUUACUUUAAUUUAUAAAUAUUUUACAACACUUUUUGUUUUUCUAAUUAAAAAAAGAAAUAAAAAACAAUUUAAAAAAUUUAUUAAAAAAAAAAAACAUCAACAACUAUAAACAAUCGAACGACGGGAGGAUAAGAAUGCACUUAGGCAUAUAUAUCACAACAACAAAAAAAUCUAAAAAACCAAAAAAAUAUACUAAUACUAGAGAUAGUAUCCAACUAAAUGUAUUUUGUAAAAUACCAACAUAAGAAGCCUAACAAGGACAAAACAAAAAUGAUGAAAAGUGGAAAGAAGAAAGAAUGAAUUUUCCUAGUGUAGUAACUUUCGCCAUACAUGCUCUCUGACAUCAGAAUACACAACCUUUACUCAUAUUGUUGUAAAUGAAGAAAGAAAAGAAAAAAACAAGAAAAAUUUUUAAUUUUUUUAUAUAUAAAAUUAUAAUAAUUUUUGUAUUAUGAAAAACAUGACUUAAGCCCCGUCAUAAAACUUAAUACUACUCAUACAUAUGUACGUUUAGGUUUAAAUCUAGUUGUCUAGUUGUCUGUGUCGAAAGUUGAAAAAAGAGAAAUUUAUAAAAAAAAACCAAAAACACACAUUUACUACACAUCUUCAAAUAAAUAAGAAUAUUAAAAAAAAACAAAA
This is an RNA transcript of Lucilia sericata (common green bottle fly), 7548 nucleotides long. It is a transcript of the gene named myosin heavy chain, muscle, with no coding region annotated. Lineage: Eukaryota; Metazoa; Arthropoda; Insecta; Diptera; Calliphoridae. The transcript has 19 exons. The record is from RefSeq and is a predicted model, not a curated record.